Molecule: long non-coding RNA, 4368 nt
Organism: Gasterosteus aculeatus aculeatus (three-spined stickleback)
Lineage: Eukaryota; Metazoa; Chordata; Actinopteri; Perciformes; Gasterosteidae
Source: Ensembl
CUUCCAGGCAGCCAAGACCCCCUCGAAGUGGUAAUGAAAAGUGUAACUUUAGCCUCCCAGCUGUACGUCUCAAUCCAUAAUCCUUCCCCAAAAACCUCACCGUAGUGCCGCCUACCACUCCCAUGGCGUUCCCAGCCUGUGCCGGGCUGGGCCUGUACUCUGAUUUAUGAGGCAGUCCUGUGUCAUACUCUCAACCUGAAAAGGAUUUCUUCUCUUAUGUGUACCAGGGUGGUCAGGGCAGCUCUCUGGAAAGACAGAAAGCCCCGUCUCCCGGGCCUCAAUCACCAGAGAGUCUUCUCACCCCUCUGAGCCAAUAACCAGGACAUUUUGGACAUUACCAGAAUCAGACGAGUCUUCAGUGUUUCAAUAGUGGUGUGUUUCAGCAGUGCAGAGGUCAGAGUCCAUGCAACCCGUGCCUACACAGCCGCAUGGCCAUAAUUUGCUCUCAGGUCAGGCCGAGGGCCCAGCAGGCUCCCGGCACAGGUCACAGAGGGCCUCAACAUCCCAGGGAUGAGAUUCCAGACUGGCAUGAAGAAGAGUGUUUGAUGUGGACCUGAGCUGGGCUAUGUUACCAUGUUGCUAUGCCUUUAAUUAGCUCCAGCAGCUGCUACUUCCUGGUGGACGGGCCCUGGCAAACCGCAGUGUCUCUGUAAUCCCUCACAGGUGUCUGUUUUCUGAGGAUGCAAUCAUGAUUAAGAGACUGCAAAGUUCUCUUGGUGACAGUAAAAGUGCCACUCCGCAUUGUUUAUCUGGAUUUCCAGCUUGCGCAAAGACAUCUAAACCCCGGGAAAUUACCCUCCGAGGACGGACGGCUUGAAAUUGAUGCCAGAGCAGAAGAGCGCACCUUGCUCCCCGCUCUCCUUUGUCACACCCAGGUUGGUGGAUCUUUCCUUAAAACUACCAGAGAUGAAAAAACUGGGAGACUUGGCAGCUGGCUAGGGCAUACUAAUACCCUGGACUCAUUAACUUAAUGGGGGCCAGAUUCCCCGCGCUGAAUCUGCACUGAUGCCCUUUGAGUUUGCCGGGGCCACAGGGUGUGCAGCACAUUGAGAGCCCUGACCGGCAUAUUGAACGUAUUUUAAUGGAAACCUUUUUUAGACUCGCCGCCGUUAAGGCCCCGCACCUCUCUGUGUGAUCUCGUCAGAUAGCCACUCUAUCCUCAGAUUCAGGCCCGGAGAGGGGGGAGGGGACCUCGCGCGUUAAAUCAGGCCAGAGGUGGCCGUAUCUCAACUGAGGCCAUUCUUUGCUGGAGAUGUGGAUCCUGGAGACGUGGCUCUGAGUGAGCUUUGAUGUAUUAACUUGCCCCGCGUAGGACUGGAACAGGAAGAGGCCGACGUUCAGCGGGAUUGCCUCUUAUUGGACAGCCGUCUACAGAGUGUUGAUUUAACUACUCAAUUCUACCAUUCACCUAGCCACUUAAGGCUGCACUAUAAAAUUGAUUCAGUGCCACAUAUGCCCAUUAUAGACAUAAUUGCCCAAUGUGAAGACUCCACUGCCAAUCACUUCAUUAUAGGCAAGCCUCAGGAUUAUAUAGAAUCCAAUAAGGAUGCUCUGAAUUGCAAGAUGUGAAGGGCAACUAAAAAAGAUAUUGUUUUUGAUGGCAAUAUAUUGAUACCAUGGGAGGAAUAGAAUAUUAAUACAUGAAUUUAGCAUAUUUGCCCGACAGCAAAAAGAUGAAUUGAUAAGAAAAGAAAGCUGGUGAAUUUGCAUGACAAAAAAGUCCCUUUAGAGUACUAAUAUAUCACCCUCAUGGAUAACAGAAUUGCAUGUGCCAGAUGUUGAGAUAGGGAGAAUUGAUCUUCGAUGAUAUUAAGAUAUUAAGCCUUUACUAUUUUGAGCUUUAAGUGAUAUAGGAGUUAGGUAUCAGCAAACAAAGGCGUGUAUAUCUUUACUUGCCCUUAGCUGAGAGGACUAUAAUCUUGCUUUCACUUCUUCUUGACUGCGUGCUCUUGAACGCCACGAAGCAGGAAAACCUGUCCGACAUUGAUGAGAUUAUACGCGGUCAGGAAUGAGCGGGCAGGACUCAUCCCCGCGGACAGAAACACCCUUUAACCGCAGCAGAAUAAGUAGAGUGGAUACUGACAGGAAGAUGCAUCGUAUGAGACAGACAACGAGGCUCCAGCUGCCGAAUAUAAUGAAUAAACAGAAAUCCAGUCACGCUAAAAAUGGCUGACUCAUGUUCGCAGCAUAGGAGCGAUCGCAUUUCUCAAAUACAACUCUCUCUCUCUCUCUCUCUCCCGCUCUAUUGUGCCCUCGACGUGUGGCAAAACAACACCAUGCAUACCUUUUAAAGAAACCCAUGUUGGGAAACCAUUGGAUUCUCAUAGCUGGCUUUUGACAGUAAUUAUUUCAUGAAGUCUUUGAUUUGAAGCUUGAUCGCCACAGCUGCAACAUCGGCGGGUACGUCUUCUCAUUAGCGAUUCCAUAAGCAGAGAGCAAGGAACUGCUGUAGCGGCUCCCACUUACAUGCCUCCCACUCUAACGUGUGGUGGUAAUUUAUUCUCUCCACAGUGCUCAUCAUUCUGAUGCAACUCACACAGUGACAGGAAUCCAUCUCUGUGGUACCCGGCAACAAAGAGGGAGGUGGGCUAAAGGGAGGGCGGCGCACGUAUUCCUGCUACCACAAUCAGAGGGGAGAGGAGCGGUUGCCAGGCAGGUUUAGAACAUCCGUACAGGCCACAUUUGUGCCAGGCGGACAUCCUGUGAACACUAGAAGCAGAGCGAGGAGACGCCGACGCGACCCCUUCCAUCGCUGCUGCCCUUGACGAGUCAAGAAAUGGAUCCUGACAGCCUCUACAGCAUUUAGCACCACAAUUAUCCCCUUUUCACAGCCUGGCUGCAUUAAUGUAAACCACACCAGGCAGUAGUUGCCACUCAGUGAUGAGCACAAUGUGGUGCAUCAUCGCUGGGUGAGCAAUUUGGUUCAAUUGUGCUGCUGUGUGAUCAUCAGUGCAAAUCACGGCCUGCUCAUUUAUUAAGCAAUUUCUGUUGGAGAAAAUUAGAAGGGAGACUCAUAAUUGGGCAGGAGAUAGUAAUACCUCUAAAAGCAACGAUAAUGGAUGAUGUGGCUGACAUCAAACAAAAGGAGCAAGCGAGUUAAGCCCGCAGCAACCCAUCAGGGAGGUGUGUAGCAUUGGGAAUGAAGCACCCCCCUUUGGUGUCCACCAGGAUUGUGUGUGUGUUUGUGUGUGGGGGGGGUGAAGGGUGAAGGGAGGGGGGGGGGGGGUGUAGCACAGACCAGAGUGACAAGGACUCACUCCCUGGAUGCGAGAACGAGUCACUCCGUAGGACGCUCGCAGGAUCCAUCCGUUGGCCUUAGCUUGACCUUUUGCUCCGACGGUGGCUAAUGGAGGGCUGGCCCUCGAUCAAUGCGCCGAGAGAUUGGGUUCGUUCCUCGUCCCCUUUCACCGGGCCGGGAGAAGGGCCGGCUGCUGCCAGGAGCCACGCCGCGAAGCCAUCGACCCCGCCGCUCUCCCAUCCUGUGGGUGACAGCUGCGGUGCCAACGAGCCCGGGGAAGCCACGCAGCCCUGCCACGUAGGAAGGACAGCCGGCGACUCCGUCUCCGUGGUGUCGGGAGGGAAAGUCACUGAUGAUCUGUUCGUGAAUGUCAGAUCUCCAUGUAAACAACCCCAGCAAACGCUUUGCUAUUGAGUAUGUGUUGAUAUGGAUGAAAACUGAAGAUUUGACUCGUCGAAGUGAUGUUUUUUAAUGCCAUUGUAUCCAGAUUUAAUAUGUGGCUCAUGAGGGUGUAAAAGUGUUUUAAAUCAGCAAACGCAAGCUUCAAAUGGACAGAUUCCAGCUGCUUGAUUUAAUAGAAGUCGAGUACAGGUGAUUACAUCUGGAUAAUACCGUUUUCAAAAGCUAAAAAAUGUUUUGUCAGUAUAAGAAUUGAUCAAAUAAAGCCUGACUCCAAGUGUUAGAAGUUGUUUGCAUUACUUUUGCACUUCAAAUGUUACCGUAGGGAAUAGCUUUCUUUUUUCUCAUGAAAGUUGCACUUUACAACCCAGAUGGUGCACCACUGUAUACCUUUAAUCUGCUCUUUUCUGUCAAUAAACAACGCCUGCAUUAAACGCACAAAACAAUAUUUACUGUGAAUUUUAAUUGCAAAUACUGCAAUUCGAACAUGUAAAGAUAUUCAAAACAAUAGCGGCAUAAUACAUUCAGUCCAUAUGGAGCGAGAGGAAGAGACAACCAAGAGGUUUCGCGCCGAUUGUUCUUUUUAUUAUCAUUAACAGUAAUGUGAUUCUGAAGCCUCCCGUGACCUCCUCACAGCAGCAUCUCAUCUCAGAAGUCAUUCAUUAGAACAAACAGAAGGCUGGCAGAAAGACUGCGAGAAAGAGACAUGGGGAGGGAGCAUAGUGUAAAAU